Molecule: ribosomal RNA, 497 nt
Filed under: uncultured bacterium
Lineage: Bacteria
Description: partial 16S ribosomal RNA
Rfam family: Bacterial small subunit ribosomal RNA
Source: RNAcentral
GAUGAACGCUGGCGGCGUGCCUAAUACAUGCAAGUCGAGCGAACAGAUGAGGAGCUUGCUCCUCUGACGUUAGCGGCGGACGGGUGAGUAACACGUGGAUAACCUACCUAUAAGACUGGGAUAACUUCGGGAAACCGGAGCUAAUACCGGAUAAUAUAUUGAACCGCAUGGUUCAAUAGUGAAAGACGGUUUUGCUGUCACUUAUAGAUGGAUCCGCGCCGCAUUAGCUAGUUGGUAAGGUAACGGCUUACCAAGGCAACGAUGCGUAGCCGACCUGAGAGGAUGAUCGGCCACACUGGAACUGAGACACGGUCCAGACUCCUACGGGAGGCAGCAGUAGGGAAUCUUCCGCAAUGGGCGCAAGCCUGAUGGAGCCAUGCCGCGUGAGUGAAGAAGGUCUUCGGAUCGUAAAACUCUGUUGUUGGGAAAGAACAGAUGUGUGAUUAUAUCCCGACGUUUUGACGGUACCCAAACAGUAAGCCACGGCUAACUACGUG